GGGUCAGUGCAUAUGGCAGCGUGGGCGAUGCAUUCAGGGACAAUAAGAAGUGCGGGAAAGGCGCACUUCUUACUUUUUUUUUUUUUUCCACAAACGCGCGGAAAAUCGGGACAAAUAUAACAGUCGGGUUCUCCAGCGGGGCGGCAAUAGGGGUGGCAGGAACUGGCUCGCGAACAUCAGGAGGAACGACCGCAGAAAGAAAAGCCGGAGGAACAAGCACCUGAGGAGCGGCAGCAGCAGGUGCUGUCCCGGGCCUGGAGCGCGGACUGGCCGACUUUGUGUGACUUUUCUUUGGCAUAGUGCAGGGUUGUUUACUCUCCUAAAACACUAUGGGCCCGAUCUUCCAAGGACAAGAACAGUUCUGGAGCUGGAAGAUCUCACAUUGUGCCCCUCCAGUGUGGAAAAGGACACACCAGUCUGUGUUUAGAAACACAAGACAGCAAAGACAGUUGGUCGUCAGCCCUUGUUUUGAAGCCCAGGGUGGGUCCACCUGCUCGAGCCCCAAGAAUCAACCGAGAGGUUGUGUCAGGGUGUGUCACAUCUCGAUGCUCUGAAGAGAGACGGCAAUGUGGCCACACUGCCCUCUAGAUGAUGGAACAAGGACUGCAGACAUGACAGCUUUCGCAAAAUUGCAUAUCUGAGUAAAUGUCACUUAUUGUUGUUGUUAAAUCAAAAGGUAGGAGAUGUUUUAUGUUUUCUCUUUAUGUCUUCUCUUGCAUUUAAGGCAUGUAAUAUAGUAUACACAAACCUGUAUAGGCUAUUAUGUCAACAGACCACUGUGAUGUCAUUGCUGUCACUAGAAACCUGUCACCCAUACUAGCAUUCUUACCAGCAUCUUGUAUGUGUUUAUAACUUGUGCUGCCGUCUCCUGAUUGGGUGAGGAGGGUCAGCUGGUGUUGUGAAUCAGGCCGCUGCACUUUCACCCACGGCUUCUUCACAACACCAGGGUCUCUCCGCACCACAGGCUGCUCACAGAGGAGAGACCUGCAUAACUUCAUAACAUGCCUCAUGUGUGGACUGCAUUAAAUAUUGUACCUUUAAACUGCUGUCGAAAGGUUGUUAUUCUUUCUUCUGUAUAAUUUUCAAUAAAGAGCUCAUGCUGAAUGAAAUGUUGUCUUUUCAAAUGACGUUUCUGUGCGUGGAAAAUCAACGUGAACUGGAAUGAGUACUGUGUUCCAAUUAAAACGUCUCUUAAAAUGCCGUUUACGGUCGACCUGUUUCUUUUACACAAACCAAAUAAACAGAUUUACACUGUUUUCGUUGCAUUGUUUCGCAUUUACUGCACAUUAGCAUAAGCAUCCAUUCCGAAAUCUGCAUGCUAAACACAUACUGUAAGCAAAAGGAGGUUGAUG
Neogobius melanostomus (round goby) is the source of this 1352-nucleotide long non-coding RNA. The record is from Ensembl. NCBI's taxonomy places the organism in Eukaryota, Metazoa, Chordata, Actinopteri, Gobiiformes, Gobiidae.